AGAAAUCUAUUAAACAUAAUGAAUCCACAAUGUUUCUUGCCAUGUGGCAAGAAACCCUUCAUUCUUAGGUUAAUAGAUAGAUAAUCUAUACCUAUACUUAUUUUAUUAAUCUCUAAUAACGUAUUAAUUCUCUCUCCUUUAAUUCUCACCGUAUUAGGCAUCUCUUCAUCUCCCCCACCCUUCCCCUCCCCUCUCCUCUCCGGUAUAUCUAUUAACAUUUCAUGAAUUAAUGAUAAACUACAUUAACGUUUCAUGGUAAUUAUAAUCAUAAUUGAUUACUCUACCAAUAUGUUUUUAUCUUUUCAUAGUCACCAUUUCAUUCUUUUAUUAUUUUGCUAAUUUUUUUUUCAUGGACAAGACGCCAUCGUGAGGAGAAGCAUUGAAAGAUAAUUCACAUAAAAGUUUGUAAUUCAUUGAAUGACUAAGAUCGAACUUUCAGAUGAAUCAAUUACUUCUUGUGAAAGAAAAAAAGUCAUUUUCAUAAAUUCAUUCUUUUUUUUAUAUAUGUACCUUUUGGUUUUCUAUUUUGGGUGUUAAUUUGAUGGGGUUUAUGUGAUUUGCAAGCUUGAGCUGAGAAGCUUGGAUCCUUUCCUUCUCCUGGAUAAGUUUGAAGAUAUUUUGGUUUCUAGAAAGAUGUGAAAAUCUAUUUUUUUCCGAUUUGGAUAAAAAAUUUAGAAUUUUUAUCAUUAAAUUUUUCCAAAUUUUGCUUGAUUUUUCUCAACCGUUCCUUUUCUUUUAAGUUGGGGUUUUUUUUUUGCUUGAAUUACAAUUUGUUUUGUUGUAGUUUCUCCUCCCGCUGGGUUUUCUAAUCACUCUCAUAGAGGUUGGUUUUGAAAAAUUACAACUUAUUAUCCAUGGUCUUAUGUUAUAGGAUAUUUGCUUCUGCUCAGGUGUUGUUGUGCUUAAUUAUGUUUUUUUUUUUGAGACUGUUACAUACAUGUUAGAGGUAACUCAAGUUACACAUCUCUGUUAUAAUUCAGAUUGGUUUGUAGUAGAUGCUCAUGAGGUGUUCACUGAAUUGCUUCUGUGGGGUUUUAGGGCUCAUUCACUCAUCAAGAUUUCGCCAGGCAUAAGGGCACAAUUGGGUCCGGAGAUGUGCAGAUUUGGCAUUGUUUGGUUUUUUUUUUAAUAUAAAAAAAGGAUUGGUAAAAAUAUUUACUGAGAGAUCCUCUAUAGGCCAUUUGAAAUAGGCCCUCAAUUUUAUUUAAUUUUCAAUUAACACUCACUUGAACUUGUAACAAUUUUUUUUAUUUGAGUUGUUAUGUGUAAUCAAAUUGUAAAUUUUGUAUUUGUCCUUUCUUAUUAUCUUAUUAUUUUUUUCACUAAACUAUUGAGUUUGAUUAUAUAGAUUGUUAAGUUAAUAAGUAUGAAAAUAUCAUCUUUAAUAGUUUUUUAUUUUAAUAGUUACAAUUUUAAUUUAAUAGUUUUUAUUUAAUAAAGAGAUUGAAAAUUUUGUUUGUAAAAAAAAUUUUAUUUAAUAUUAGUUUCAAUUUAAACUAAUAUUAAUUAGUUUAUAGAAAUAAUGAUUGUUUCGAUAGUGUCUACCCGCUGCAUCACGCGGGUAAUUACACUAGUAUAUGAUGAGUUUGGAACUUACACCAAUACCUGUUGUAUCUUCCUAAUUUGAGUUACAUGCAUGAAGAAAAACUAAGCAUCCUACAUAAAACAUAUAGAAGAUUAUUGAAAUAUUACGAACUUACGAAAUGGUUGGUCCUUAGAUGUCUGUCCUUUACGAUAUUUGAAAACGUCUACAUAUAAAAAAUAAUACAUUUUAGACAUCUAUUUAACACCAAUCGAACAAUGUUCUUUCUAAUUCACGAAUUUUGGGACUAUUUUCAUGCGGACUGGUUAGAAAUCUAUGAUGAUUUUGAAACUCCAACAAAUCUUAUUGUAUCUUCCUAACUUGAGUUACGUGCAUGAUGGAAAUCUAACCAUCCUAAAUAAAAGAAAUAUUAUACAUGGUGUUGGUGCCGAAAUUCUCCGACCCUUGACCUAGUCAACGAUCCUCCUCUCGGAGCGCGUCGGGAUGCGAAACGGCUGCGAAUAGUGACCCUCGAAGUUUGCGCCCUUCGACAGAUCAAGCGAUUCGGCUAACGAGGGAUCGAGUUAGCCGGGUUCAAAACCUCUACGGUAAAUUCGGGUCGGCCGGAUGAGCCGAAUGAACAAAAGAAGUAAGAAAUUCAGCCAAGGAAUGAGCCGAAUGGCUAAUACAGCACCAGAGCUAGUCGGCCUGAAGAGCCGAAAACUGUCUUCUAUUGAAAGAGCAAGUAAAAAGUACAGGAAAAGGGUUGUAGUCUACAGUGGAGUGAUGCCCAAAGGGCAGACAGACUCCAGAAUGCUAAGUUACAGGAACUACUCCUAGGAAAAACAGUAAAUGCGAGAAACAAAGAUGCAGGAAAAGAAAAGUGGUCUUUCGUGCGCAGGGGCGAAGACCUCCUUUUGGGGUAUUAUUACCCUAUUUAUAGAUAGCCCCUUCGGUCAGUUAUUUCUCUUUACACGAUCGGCCACUAUCUCCUCAUACUCUGGACCACUUCUAGCCGAUCGGAACCGCAUGUAACUGCUUGCGGUUACCAUAACAUCUUUCAAUUGGCGCGAUACCCUUUUCUGGUGCUCCUGAUACACGACAAAAUGGACGCUUUUGAAGGAAUAUUCGCACCUAAAUCUCAUCCGCGCCUAAUUGGCUCAACAAUUGCCCCCUCGGUAGCUUUCGAAGUAACACUUCGGUAGCUGGCGUGAUCUGAGACACGGUUUGCUUUUUAACUUCCCGAUAUGUUUUCAUCUCAGCCGUCCCUUUUUUGCUGCCGAAAUCCUGUAAUUACUUCGAUAACAAAUGCGAUCCAAGGCAUCGUUCUCGAUCCAAUCACAUUCAAAAAUCUCUGUACCAGUACCAGACGUAAUUCGAGGCUUGACCCUCUGUACGGUUCAAUAUUAGCCGUUUAUUUUCUUUCUUACGGCCCGAUCUCAAUUUUCAUUUUGUCUCAUCUGCGGCAUUAACUAGGUCAUCUUAAUUACCGCCGUCUAUUCAUUAUUAAAGCCGACCUCGAAACUCGCUUUGACGCGACGGUUCGAUACGACGACCUUUCUUCUUCUCCAAGCUUUUUAUUCUUUUUGUCUCUUCUAUUUCUUCUUCGUCUUCCAGGAAACUUUUCUUUCGCUUCCCUUUCUUUCAUCUUCUCCGAUUUUAUUUUCCACUUGACUUUUUCUCUUUUCCUUUUUCGACUAAUGGCGUUGGUUCCGCCUCUUCCUUCUCAUCCAUCCCUGGAUUAUACUAUGCUUAAACCCUUCGUCGACUCAGACCCCUCUAGAUUUAUUUUGGGUCUUUCUCUUACAGAAGUGCCAGCCCCCAUCGAUUCGCCCUUUUCUGGCGACGGCUUUCCCCUGAGAAAAGCUAUUCAUCUUCAGUCUUGAUUCUCUUCUGCUUUAACAGGGAAGAGUCUUCGAACCUGGCCAAGUACUUCAGAGGCAUAUUUAACCUGGUUAGCUCGAGUAGAAGCCGCCUUUGGUGACUUUUUGCAAGAGGUUGGGAUAUAUGAAGCUAUUCAAUUGUCUCGGCAUCCUCCUAUUGCCGAUAAUCUUCUUCUAGCCGCCGCUCUAUGUUUUUGGUCCCCUACUUCUAAUGUUUUUUUUUUUCGAAAGAGGACCUCUUACCCCCAUUCUUUUUGAUGUGGCCGCCAUUACUGGCUUGCGCCCUCAUGGCGUUACUGUUUCUAUACCUUAUAAUCCUGAUGGCGUAUCUGAUUUUGAGGACCGUUUAGACCUCAAUGACUUGGCUUACUCCAAGUUCAUCCGCAAAUUCGCAGGUGAAUCCCCUGCUCCCGUUACUAAGAACGAACAUACGGCAUUCCUCCAUUAUUGGUUAUGCCAUAAUUUCUUCUGUACUCGUUCACAGAAGAUUAAUCGUGACUUUGUUCCAAUCACCGUUGAGUUGUCCAACGGCGAUAGAUUAGCUCUAGGGCCUUACUUUCUUUCUUGCCUUUGUUUAUAGAGAAAUUUUUGAUUCUAUUAAAAUACUGCCUUCUGGAGAUGGUAUUGCCAUCAGUUCUGGCUGCUGUGUUUUCUGGUUUCUUCAAAUAUUUUUACAAUUUUAUAUUCCCGCUUUAUGCCAAUCUCCUUUUAAUCCGACUUCGGUUGCUCAAUUUGAUUCUUAUGGGUUAGCUCUCGGCUGUCCACAGCCGAUGACUCUGCGUCAACCCUCUGACUUUCUUACUUAUUUUAAAACUUUUUAUGAGCCGAGUCCUGAAUCGGCUAUUUUUUGGGCUCCCUUUGCUGACCGUCUUAUUGGUCUUUCCUGGUUCCUUGCCCGGUUUGAAGCUAUAUAAGGUGAAUUGGCCUCUUCUCGCGCUAGUGAAUACUCAGAGGUCUGGUACUCUUAUUUAGCUCCGAGAGAUCUUCAUGUGGGGUUAAAAUCGUGCUCAGAAUUAUUACCAAGCACUGAGGUUUAUUCCCCUCAGUAUGUGGCCUGUCAGUUUGGAUUUGUUCAGCCGAUUCACGCUCCAUCCAAAUUUUUUACAACUAAUACAGCCGAUCAUCGACCCCCUACUAAAAGUAUAGCCGAAGCUGAUAAGAUUUCAGCUAUGGGAAAUCGCCUUCGUCGCUUCUUUAAAUUAGUGAGCUUCAGGCCGAACUAAACAGGAGUUGCUCUUGCCGGCUAUGCUACUAUUUGGGAUCAUUUUACUGAUCGUACUCUCGACCUUUCUCUUCUUCGGGCAUUCCGCAGACCUAUUCAUCCACUUGUUUCAGUUGAUCCUCCUGUCUCAUUAUCAAGAGAAGAAGAAGCUUCUGAGGUCAGGCCUUCUUCUUCUGUAAUGUACUCACCUUUAUUUUAACUUUCUUUUCAAUACUUAUUUUUUUUUCCUGCAGUCAAUUCCUGUUUCUUCAUCGGUCUCAGCUUCAGAAAAAAGACCGAUUGAGACCGUUCAAUCUACUCCUCCGCCGCCUCCAAAGCGGCGUAAGUCAAUUGCUAAAAGGUCCUAUUCUACACAUGCCGAAGGUAUUGCUUCGGCCGAUGUAUCAGAGAAAAAAGCUGAAGAAACGACUUCGGUUCCUAUUUCCGAAGAAACGCCUUCGGUUGAUGCUUCCAAACAAGACUCAGUUCCCAAUGAGCCCAUUGAGAUUGAGGUAUGUAUAUUUGAUUAGUCACUUUAACUCGUAUUAUUUGAUCAACUCGUUUAUCAUUCUUUUAAUAAAACAGUUAAUAAAACUGUCUUCUCCCGAAAAGAAUUCAAGAGCUCGUUUUGCUUCUUCUUUGAAGGCGCAAAUGGAUAGGCAGCUUCGCCGGGAAGCUUGUCUUGAAAAAAAACGAGGUAUGGAAAAAAAGAAGGCAACCGUUGCAGAGGCGAGCACAAUGCCAUCACUAGGUGAAACUAUAUCACCUCUUUCUGCCCUAAACCCAAUUACAAGGGAUGACAAAGCAAGUGUACCUGUCGAGCAAGGUUCUGGAGAAGCUCAAGGCUCUGGAGAAACAAGCACCAUACCUCCUCCUCCAACUCAUGGGACUUCCCCUUCUGCUCCUGAGGAUUCUCUAACUGCUACUCUUCAUUCUUUACUGGUUUCAAGUCCCAGUUCCAAUGAGGGGGAUGAUUUUUCGACUAUUAUUGUCUCAUCGGACACUCAACGUAAAUUUGAUGAAUGUCUUAAAAUAUAUAGCAAUGGUCCCCUCUGUUUAGCUUAAAAUCCGGAGCUACUUGAUCGGCUGUACGCUCUCUUAAUCGAUUUGGCCGAUCAAACAGAUAUUACUUCUAGUAUUAAAUGUUUUGUAGAGACUCUGUCGUCUCAACUUUCUUCUUUUUUGGCUCGGCAACAAUCUUUGGAUGCCGAUCUUUUAUCUUUAGAUCAACAUUUUCAUCGCGUUGAUCACUUUAAGAGGAAUAUCCCUGAAAUAGCUGACCCUAUUACUGAGGUAAAUCAUGAGGAUCAGACUUUGGCCAAUCAAGAAUCGGCUUUACAACAACGGAUUUCAACCCUUAAAGACGAGUUAGCAGCAGCCGAAUCAACUUUAGCCCAAACCUCUGAGCGCCGGCUUCAAUUGCAGAGUCAAUUAAAGACUAAAAGAGCAUAAGGAAUGAAAAUUCAGGAAGAGCUUUCUCAGCUCUACAAGGUGCAUCCCUUGAUGAAGCGCCGAAGAAAAGCUGCCGAAGCUGCCCAAGCCAACCUUAUAGCCGAAUGGAACCAACUCAAAGAUUUGUUAAUUUGAUUCAGCUUGUAAUGUUCUAACUUUAAUCUUGGUUUUUCUCCCCCCACAUAGAUGGGUAAUAUCUCUUUAAAUAUUUUUCAUUAAUUGGUUAUUCAUUUCUUGACCCAUCUCUGUUCUGCAAAUAAUAUGCAUUUCCUCUUGUGCUUCGACUGACUUGAAAUGGCUCGUCCCAAUUUGGAGACCAUUUUUCAUACGUUCGGUCUUUUUGACCGAUUGGAAAAACCAGCCGAAGUACUAAAUCACCGACGACAAAUGUCUUUGAUCGAAUUCUCUUAUUGUAUGUGCUUGCAUAUUAUCUAAAACUACUAACCGAGUAUCACAUACUUCCUCUGCUUUGUCCUUCAUUAGAUUACUGUAUUCAUCAGCCGACAAAUUUUUUUGCUUUUCUGUCCUCAAAGGAGCUGUUAUCUCGGCUGGAAUUACGGCCUCAUGUCCGUAAACUAACUGGAAUGGUGUCAUCCUUGUUGCCGUUUUCACUGAAGUUCGGCAUGCCCAUAAUACUUCGGAAAGUUUUUCAUUCCAUUUUCUAGGAUGCUUUCCGAUGUGUCGUUUCAUCAGGUUGAUGAUUAUUUUAUUCGCUGCUUCUACUUGUCCAUUCGCUUGGGCAUAAUAAGGAGACGAAUGGAGCAAUUUUAUUUUUCGAGACUCGAUGAACCGAACGAACUGUCCACCUGUGAAUAUUGUCCCUUGAUCAGUCGUAAUUGUCUCGGGAAUCCCAAAGCGAUGAAUUAUAUGGUCUUCCACAAAAUCAAUAAUUUCUUUUUUGGUAACCAACCGAGUGGGUUUUGCUUCCACCCACUUAGUGAAAUAAUCUACAGCCACUAUUAAAAAUUUGUGACCAGCCGAGGAGUUCGGCUGAAUUUCUCUAAUUAAAUCCAUGGCCCAUCCUCGAAAAGGCCAUGGUUUAAUGAUUGCAUACAUCUCAGAGGCCGGAAUUCUCUGGAUUGAGCCAUGAAAUUGGCAAUCCUGACAACCUUUGGCAUAUUCUACACAAUCUUGAUGCAUUAUUGGCCAAUAAUACCCUAAGUGCCGAAUUGCCCAUCUUAACUUUUUUCUGGCUAAAUGGGUUUCACAUAUUCCUUCAUGUUUUUCUCCCAUUAUCAACAGAGCUUCUUCAGGUCCCAAGCACUUUAAUAAAACCUCUUCGGCUGUUCUCUUAUGAAGUUGGCCAUCUAAUAAACAAUAGCCGAGAGCUCUUCUUCGAAUAUUAUAGUCGACCCUUGUAUUAGGAUCCUCUAGAUAUUUGAUUAAUAAUUCUCUCCAAUCUUCCUUUACUUCUAUGGGAGCUAUAAUCGGUUCUCGUUUGUGAACCGAAGGUAGCAACCUUCUCUGUAUUACUAUUGAUUCUGACUUCGGCUCUCUAUAUCCUGAAGCCGACUCAGCUAGUUCAUUAGCCUUUUUAUUUUUCUGUCUGCUCAAAUGUUUGAAUUCAGUCUCUCUGAAUUCACAUAGUAACUCUAAUGUCUUCCUUAAAUAGUUUUGUAAAUUCAGGUUUUCACAUCGGUAUUCUCCAUUCACUUGUUUGAUUACUAACUGUGAGUCACCGAUGACUUUGAUUGACUUUGCUUUCAAUUCUUCUAAAAUUUCUAGGCCAAUUAUUAAGGCCUCAUAUUCGGCUUGAUUGUUAGAGCAGCCGAAAUUUAGCUCGAAAGCAAAUUGGCAUAAAUACCCUUCAGGAGAUUGGAUAACUAUUCCAGCUCCUGCUAAUUCGGCUGUUCUUGAGCCGUCAAAAUAAAGUGUCCAAGACUGACAACCGACUAAAUUUUGUUUCGGUUCUUCUAAUUCUACACAUGGAUGAUCAGCCAAGAAGUCAGCUAUCGCUUGUCCUUUAACAGCUUUAGCUGGAAUAUAAUUAAGGGAGAAUUCAGACAAAGCCAACAUCCAUUUUCCAAGUAGACCCCUUAAUACAGGUUUGGCCAACAUAUACUUUACCAGGUCGGUUUUGCAUAUUACCAACACCUCAGUCGGUAAAAUAUAGUAUCUUAACUUUGUGCAUGAAUAAUACAAAGCCAAACACAAUUUUUCAAUAGCCGAAUACCGUUUCUCAGUAUCUAAAAAACGUCGGCUUAGAUAAUAAAUGGCUUGUUCUUCUUUUUCUUCAUUUUCCUGGGCUAGCAAACAUCUCAAAUUUUCCUCUGCAGCCGAUAUGUACAACUUUAUCGGCUGAUUUGGCUUUGGAGGCACCAGUACCGGAGGAUUCGAUAAAUAUCUUUUUAUAUUUUCAAACGCAUCUUGCUGUUCCUCCGUCCAAACGAAUUCUUCUUUGUCUUUAAGCCGAAGUAAUGGAGUAAAAACCCCAAUUUUUCCAGCCAAGUUGGAUAUGAACCACCGAAGAUAAUUAAUCUUUCCCAACAAACUUUGUAAUUCUUUUUUGCUUUUUGGCGACGGUAAUUCUAAUAUUGCUUUCGCUUUGUUUUUAUCAAUUUCGAUUCCUUUUUUAUGCACUAAAAAUCCUAAAAAGUUUCCUGCUGAAACUCCAAAAGCACAUUUUAAAGGGUUCAUUUUUAAAUUAUAUUUCCUCAUUCUUUCAAAGGCGAGUUUAAAUCAAUCCAAUGUUCGGCUUGCGACUUGGAUUUUACGACUAUAUCGUCAAUGUAUACUUCCAAAAUUUUGCUUAUUAAAUCAUGAAAAAUAAAAUUCAUUGCUCUCUGGUAAGUAGCUCCGGCAUUCUUUAAGCCGAACGGCAUAACAUCCCAUUCAAAGGUUCUAAUCAAACCAGGGCACCUAAAAGCCGUUUUAGCCAUAUCUUCCUAAGCAAUAUAAAUUUAAUUAUAACCAGUAUGUCUAUCCAUAAAGAACAGGACCUCGUUACCGGAAGCCGAAUCUACUAACAUAUCAGCUAUUGGCAUGGGGUACUCAUCUUUUGGUGUGGCUAAAUUUAAGUUCCUGAAAUCAAUAUAAACUCUAAGUUUACCAUUCUUUUUUCGUACUGGAACUAUGUUAGACACCCAAUCAACAUAACGGGCCGCUCUAAUAAAUCCGGCCUUCAAAAGAUUUUCUAUUUCAUUCUUAAUUUGGAGUACAAUACUCGGCUCAAACCUACGAGUCGGUUGUUUAAAAGGCUUAAACCCUUUUUUAAUGGGUAGCCUAUGCUCUACAAUUUCUCGACUUAACCCAGGCAUUUCUUCAUAGCUCCAGGCGAAGCAGUCCUUGUACUCCUUCAAUAGUUCUUUCAGCUCCUUCUGCUGUCGAGCCGAAAGCUUUGCACUUAUAUACGUCGGUCUCUUAUCUUUGUCGGAUCCCAAAUUUACUUCGAUCAGCGGGUCUUGGGUCUCCAACUUUUUCUCAUCGACUUUGAUAGGCGAUUCUUCUAGAUCCAAUUCUUUUGCUUGCCUAUUCAUUUCGCAUGACUUGUCGGUCUUGGUGACCGACUUCAUUUGAUUUUUCUUUUCGGUCCUGUAAACCGAAUCUAUUAUGACUUCUUCGGCUUUACUAGCCGAGUCAUCAAGUGUUAACACAUCGGCUGUGGCAGCCGAAUCUUCCUUAUAGCCGAUCUUGUUGAUCGGCUUAUCCUGUCGAGGCUCUUGACAAGCCUCUAUUCUUGAUUUUUCGGACUCCAUUUUAACCACUUUGGUGGCUCAUCGGCUGCCACCAAAGCCCCUUCUUCUCUAGUAAAGAUCAACUGGACUCCUUCUUCUGUAACUCUUACGAAGGAAAUUUGAUCCGGAUCCCCGUCGGCCCAAUUGAUAUGGCCGAUUUCUUCAGUGUUGAUGUCCACCAUUUGGGGCUGUCAUUCGGUCCGGAUUUCUUCAACUUUAUCUUCGACCCACUGGAAAAGUUUUUCGUGGAGUGUAGAAGGCACGCACUCGUUUGCAUGAAUCCAAUCACGCCCGAGUAGUAGGUUAUAUUGACUAUCUGCAUCAACCACAAAGAAUGCCGUUCGUAAAGUUUUAGAACCUACUGUAAUCUUAGUCGUAAGCACCCCUCGAGCUUGCUGACCGUUCCCAGAAAAGUCGGUCAUGAUCGUGUCCAUGGGUUUCAACUCAUCUUCAUCUUUGCCCAACUUCUUGAAGAAUACAGUGGGCAUGACAUUGACCAUCGCUCCGCCAUCUACCAUAACUCGGCCUACUGGCCGACAUUCAAUUAAGGCCUUUAUAAAGAGAGGCCUUAUGAAUCUCGUCUGCAUAGCCGAUGGUUUCUCAAAAACCACUGCAUCGGCUGGUUGAACAUCUUCCAAUUGCAAUUGGGCUACUUUAAGCCCAUCUUCUUCCUUUUCUUUGAACUCUUCAUACUCGAUAAGCUCCGCCUUAAAAGAUUGAGGCAGAGCAUAUACCAUAUUCACCUCAGCCGGUGAUUCUUCGCCUGACUUUCCUUUAAUUCUCUAUUUCUUUUUUUCCGACUCCUUGGCCGUCACGGCUGAAGAAUCGCUCUCCAUUCGGACUUUCCUUUUCUUAUGGGGCCAUCUUUCUCUCUUGAUCAUCGUUUCGAGAGAAGCUAUUUUGUCUUCUAACUCCCUCCUGCUCAUUUUUUCUUCUGACUCGGCCUCGGUUGGCCGUUCUAUUCUUGACUUCAUUCGAGGGGCAGGCGAUGAGCCGCCUGCCUCGUGGUCAUUUCUCAUUGGGCGAAAAGGGUGUGACUGUUCAUCAGGGCGCCUCCAUACAUUGAGCCUUAUCCCUUUCGCUUCUUCGUAGUGUUGUCUUACCUUGGCUUGCAUCCUCUGCUGCUGACGCUUUUGAGUUUUCGUUAACAUCAGCCCCUGCCACCUAGCCGAUGGUUUAACCUCAACUUCGUGCCAUUCAUCCACUGGCAUAUUCGCCGGUACCUUUACUGUCCUUAAAUGAUUUUUCAAAAUUUCUCUUCUCUUCCAAGGUCUCAGCCAAGGCUGAAUGCCGAGCUCGUUGACUAAUCUCCGACCGAGGAAUUCUAUGUCUCCCUUGGUCAUUCCCUCGAAUUCCGGUUCUGGUCUCGGCCUCGUUUGAUGCUACCAAUGUGGCCGAUAUCCAGGAAUCCUUGGCUUGGUGCCGAAAGGUCUACCCUGGUAGUCCCAUCGGCCUUGACGCUCGUCACGCCUGUUGUUGUAGUAAUCAUGCAGAAUCUUCUAUAUCAACAUGUCUUGUUUGCGUUGAACCGAUUUGACUUCUGGUUCAGUGUCAUUGGAGGCCUUGUUCGAGCCUUCUUCUUCUUGGUCUUCACCAUCAGGAAUGUCAUCCUAUUCCUCAGGGAACGCCAUCAACUCAUUCCACUCGUUGCCUCUUUUCUUGGCAUUCACAAUGGCUUCCCAAUCUUUUUUUAUCAUUUCGGCCUUGCACCUUAUGCAAAGCCGAAGAUGCUUUUUGGCAUGUGCCACGUUGUCUGUAGUCUCCUGGUCCGCAGUCUCUUUCCCUUUAACAUUCACCAUAUUAACCUGAAACAGAAACGAACUUCUGUUAAUUACUUUAUUUUCAUUUUCUUGGUCGGUUAAUAUGAGCUGACCCUCGUCUAUUUCUUCUUGGAUCUGCCAUUUCGCAGUCGCUUUUCCUUUUCCUUUCAUAUUCACGGCGAUGACCUGCGAUGGAAAAGGAUUCUUAUCAAUUUCCAUAUCUUUAUUUUCUUGGUCGGCAAAGAUAAGCCGACCCUCAUUUAUCUCUUUUUGAAUUUGCCUCUUGAAGGCAGUACAUUCACUAGUUUUAUGGCUCCAUGAAUGGUGCCACUUGCAAUAUCUUCUGCGUUUUAGUUCUUCUACAGGAGGUAUAGUUUGGCCCUUCUGUAGUUUAAUUCGUCCAUCCCUUAGCAACCGAUCAAAAAUCAGAUCGGUCUUUGCUAUAUCAAACGAAUAACUAAAUGCAGACACAUGUGCUUUCGCCUCUCUUGACUUGGCAGGUCUUAACAAAGCACAUUUGUAUGGUUGAUUAUUUCGCACCAUCUUGGCAGCACAAAUUUCGGCUUCAUCAGCCGAAUCCUCAUUUUCUUCAGACGAAUUUGGCUCUUCAUGAGCCGAAGACUCUUCAAGGAAAGAGAUAUUUUUCUCCUUUCCUUUGUUCCAAUUUUUGUUUCGGCUCCAUCUGGGCCGAUCUUCAUUGUUACCUUUCCGAAAUUGCUCGUAUUGAGCAACCCGAACUCCCAAAUCAAAAAGAUUUGGAAAGAAUUUAUCCUCAAAAUGAUCUUUAAUUUUAAAAUGCAUGCCGUUGAAUGCCAUUUUGGCAAAUUCCAAUUCCGACAUUCUUACGAAACAACGGCUUCGAGCAAUUUUGAAUCGGUUCAAAUAUUCAUCAGCCGAUUCUCCUGUUUUUUGUUUGAAUUGAGCCAAAUCCGCAACUGAUAGUUCUGGCUCUGUUCUAUAAAACUGUUCAUGAAAUUUACCUUCUAACUCAUCCCAAUCUCGGACAGAAUUAGCAGGUAAGCUCGUGUACCAAGUAAAAGCCGUCUUAGUCAAUGAGGUAUUAAAUAAUCUUAACUUUAAAAAAGGAUCUGCCGCGGCCUCACGGCACUGAGCUGUAAACCGCGCGACGUGCUCGACCGUAUUCUCGGUCUCGUCGCCGGAAAACUUGUCAAACUUCGGCAUCUUCCAAUUUGCUGGAUAUGGGUGUUCUAUAUCUAUAUUUGCAGAAUAUGGUGACCUGAAUACGGGCCGCAUUACCGGCCUUACGCUUACUCCGAAAGUAUUUCGGAUGGCUUCUUCUAUUUGCGCAUAAAUCUCGUUAUUAAUCCCCUGUAAAGGAGCUUGCGCUGGUGCUGGGUUCGGCGGGAGUGGAACUCCGAUGUUUUGUACUACGGGAUUAACCCCUUGUACAUUUGGAGCUUGCCCCCUAGCCCCUGCAUUUUGAGGCUGGUACACUACUACUGGAGGAGGUGGAGGUAACCCCCAAGCCACUUCUGGCUGUUGACCGGCAUUAACGACAGCCGGUCUAUAAGCCACUUGAUAUAGUGCCCCCUGGUACUGGGGCUGACCAUUUACUGGUGUUACAGGAUUUUGUAACACUGGUGUUAUCACAGGCGCUUACAGGCCUGUUAUCGGCUGUUCGUUCCGAGUUAACAACUGCCCUAUUCGGGCGAUGUUCUCGUUAGAGGCCGUAAUUGCGGCCAAGACGACAUCCAGCCGUGUAGUACUCGCAUGACUGUUUUGGUCCAAAACUUGCAGGACCCAAGUCAUUUGCCCAAGUGCUUGAGCCAGGCUAGGCUCUUGUUGGCCAGACUGACCAUUGGUCUCACCUUCAGCGGGUAAGACUGCUUGGCGCUCUACAACAUUCUCUGAAUUACUGGGCUGUUCACUCCUAGAAUUUCUAGGGAUAGCCCUAUUAUGAAGAUUCAUGGCGUUAUCCUCAGCCAUACUUUAUAUAUAAUGCAAAUUUACCUUAUAUCAGUGUCCUACCGGGCGUGCCAAAAAAUUGUUGGUGCCGAAAUUCCCCGACCCUUGACUUAGUCAACGAUCCUCCUCUGAGAGUGCGUCGGGAUGCGAAACAGCUGCGAAUAGUGACCCUCGAAGUUUGCGCCCUUCGACAAAUAAAGUGAUUCGGCUGACGAGGGAUCGGGUCAGCCGGGUUCAAAACCUCUACGAUAAAUUCGCGUCGGCCGGAUGAGCCGAAUGAACAAAAGAAGCAAGAAAUUCAGCCAAGGAAUGAGCCGAAUGGCUAAUACAACACCAGAGCUGGUCGGCCUAAAGAGCCAAAAACUGUCUUCUAUUGAAAGAGCAAGUAAAAAGUACAGGAAAAAGGUUGUAGUCUACAGUGGAGUGAUGCCCAAAGGGCAGACAGACUCCAGGAUGCUAAGUUACAGGAACUACUCCUAGGAAAAACAGUAAAUGCGAGAAAGAAAGAUGCAAGAAAAUAAAAGUGGUCUUUUGUGCGCAGGGGCGAAGACCUCUUUUUGGGGUAUUAUUACCCUAUUUAUAGAUAGCCCCUUCGAUCAGUUAUUGCUCUUUACACAAUCGGCCACUAUCUCCUUAUACUCCGGAUCACUUCUAGCCGAUCGGAACCACAUGUAACUGCUUGCGGUUACCGUAACUUCCUUCAAUUGGCGUGAUACCUUUUUCUGGUGCUCCUGAUACACAAACGAAUGGACGCUUUUGAAGGAAUAUUCACACCUAAAUCUCAUCCGCGCCUAAUUGGCUCAACACAUGGAAGAUUAUUGAAAUAUUACAAACAUGUGAAAUGCACGGUCGUCCUUAUAUCUAUACUUUAUAAUUUUUGAAAAAUUAUGCAUAUAAAAAUAUAAUAAAUUUUAAUAAAUUUUAGACAUCUAUUUUUUGAGAAAUGAUUAAGUACUUUAUUUUAUAAAAAUAAAAAAAUCUUAACAGUUUUUUUUUAGAGAUAGGUAGCACGCUACCCGCUUCGUUUAUUUCAUUUAAAAAUAAACUUAGCUAGAAAUGUGAAUCAACUAGGAUUCGAACUUGGGUCUCGGGUACCAACCACCAAGCCCUUUGCCACUACCUCUAGGGAUGGUUGGUAAAAAAAAAAAAAAAUCUUAACUGUUGAUCAAUGGAGGGUAAAUAUAUAAUUUUAACAUGUAGCAGUUAAAGGAUUAUUUCAUUCGAGAUUAUUUUUGUAAUUAAAUAAUGCAAAAUUAAAAAAAAAGUUUUGAUUGAUACCCUAAAAUUUAGGCACUAGUUUUGCAUUAAUUUGAGGAAUUAAUUGAUAUCCCAAAUUUAGGCAUUAAUUUAGGCAUUUAGUUUAGAAAUUUUAGUGUUUCUCUAAUUUAGGCAUUAAUUUAAAUAUAGGAAUAUUAUAGAAAUAGUACUAUUUUCUAAAUACGUUGAAUUUAAAUAUUAAAUAUUAAAUAUUAAAUAUUAAAUUUUAAAUAUUUAAAUUUAAAAAAUUUAAAUUUAAGUUAGAAAAAUUUUGUAUUACUAUUUUAAAAAAUUUAAUAUUGGUAAAUAUUUAAAUUCAACGUAUUUAAUAUGUUUAAAAAACUUUUAAAUUUCUCUAAUCGACCGUCCCUGUCAUGCCGCGGAUUACACGUUCCCCGGGCACGCCGACAAAUCUGCCGUAUACAAAAAAAUUUUUCUCGUAUACGAAGCGAUAGCUGUCUUUGUAAAAUAUACAAUACUACAAACAGUAGUGUAGAGCUGAAAAGAACUAAGCAGGUAAAACGAACAAAUCUCAUAUACAUACAAACUAACAAGUACAAAAACACUCGCUCUAGCGAGUUCUAGUAUCAGUAUGUACAUAAGCUCAAAAUAAAAAUACUAUUACCUGCAGCUGGUGAUCCUCUAGCACAGCGUUUCGUCGGAUAGGGCUCUAGCUUGUGACGCCCUUGCCUCGAUCCGCCUCUGAAGACACAGCAGUCGGAACAGCAGGCUCUGCAAAACACAGGGUAACAACUGGGCGUGAGAACUACUGUAAAAAUAAGUAGUCCUCAGUGGGUACCGCCCUCAACAUCAUCGGCUCACCCACUAAGACUACAGUAGGAAACAAGGCUAAAAGGUAAACCCGGAAAGAAAUCCACAACUACAUGCCACUACACUAUCCCAUUGUGUUUACUAUCAAUUCUGACCCAAUCUCAUUAGGGACUGUGUACGCACCGGUCCCACCUGUCUAAGCCGCGCUACCUCCAUGCUAAACAGUCCGUGGAUAGCAACUAAUCAGCGACAUCAACGCGAAAGCACAAAGCGAGACUCCGGAGCAGCACUCGUGGGCACGACCCAACCGAGUAUGCAAGCAUAUCUCUGUCGAGCUCAAUUAGGCUCUCACAGGCUGAAGUCAAGAAAACAGGUCUAUCAGUGCUACUAACCCCUAGUCACGUGCCCUCGGCACAAUCUGAUAUCGGAACGAUCAAAUUCUGGUCCGCCGUCAACCACUACGGCACCCACUAAUCCGGAACACUGUAAACACUACUGUAAAAAUCAGCUCGGCAUCUCAGCACGAGCGUAACUGAAAUCUGAACUACCUGGGAUACUCACUAUGAGGAUACUGCAACAGUAUAAAAAUACAACGGCCCCUAGGGCUAAAUCAAGUAGUUUAACAUAUGCUAGGUCCCGAACGUUGGUUUUCUCCUAUGUUUUAUCCAAGUCCCACAUGUAUGAUUAAUAACAGCUUAUAACAUACUCCUAAUUCAGUUAAUAUGUCUAAAACAUAGCUACUCAUGAAUUUGAGCUAAACAAUAACAACGUGCAAUAUUAACGAUACAUGUCGGCGCAUAUGGCUAUAGGAGUAGGAACCCGAUGAUAAACCCACCUCAAACGCUAAAUCCAACCCAGCGUGACAUCGAGAACGACGGAAAUGCACCCUCGCCCGGCCUCCUCGUGAUGCUACGAUGACGAAGACACGCUCAAACGGCUUCGUGGCGCGACAUCGACGACGAUCCACACCACCCGAAGCUUUCUCCACGUACGGCUCAAGAACUAUAUAGAAAAGAAAAUUAAAGCAAUGCACAGAUAUUUAAGUUGAUAAGCAUGCAUGGGGGUAAGGUGCACGUGGCAUCCUUAUCCCCAGCUAGCUUACUGACUCAAAAUAAAAUAAUAAAAAAAAUCAAGGAUACUACAUCCUUCCCUACUAUAAAAAGUUUCGUCCUCGAAACUUAAAACAUACCUCAGACCGGAGUCUCAAACAGGUAGGGGUAGGACUCUCGGAUCACCAUCUUCAGCUCCCACGUCGCCUCAUGCUUCUCGUGAUGACUCCACUGCACUUUUACAUACGGGAUGACCCAGUUGCCCAAUUCUUUCGUCUCACGAGCAAGAAUCCGCACCGGUCGCUCCUCGUAUCUCAGAUCCUCACCAAUCUCUAGUGGAGUGAAGUCAAUCACGUGAGAUGGAUCGAACACAUAUCUCCUCAAUGUUGAGACGUGGAAGACAUCAUGGAUACCUGCAAGUCGGGGUGGUAGAGCAAUCCGGUAAGCAACUGGUCCAACUCGCUCCAAUACCUCAAAAGGGCCAACGAAACAUGGACUGAGCUUUCCACGCACUCCAAAUCGGCGAAUCCUUCUGGACGGCGAGACUUUAAGAAAUACAUGAUCUCCAACCUGGAACUCCAAGUCUCGUCUCUUGGUAUCGGCGUAGCUCCUCUGGCGGCUCUGGGCUGUCAAAAGGUGUCGUCGAACAACUCUCACCUUUUCCUCAACCUCUAGCAAAAUCUGAGGCUCAAGUGUCAUUCUCUCACCUACAUCACUCCAAAACAACGGGGAUCGACACCUGCGUCCAUACAACGCCUCAAACGGAGCCAUCUGAAUGCUCGUUUGAUAGCUGUUAUUGUAUGCAAACUCUGCUAGUCUCAAGUGUCGAUACCAUCCUCCUCCAAAAUUCAGGACACAUGCCCUCAGAAUGUCCUCUAGAGUCUGAAUGGUCCGCUCCGACUGACCAUCCGUCUGCGGGUGAAACGCUGUGCUGAAAUGUAACUGAGUCCCCAAAGCUGUCUGUAAACUCAAAAAAUGUGACACAAACCUCGGGUCCUGGUCUGAUACGAUCGAUACUGGUACACCAUGUAGUCUGACAAUCUCAUCCAGAUACAACUGCACGAGUCUUUCUUUGGACCAGGUGGUCUGAACUGGUAGGAAGUGAGCAGACUUAGUCAGUCUGUCCACUAUCACCCAAAUAGCAUCAUAGCCACCUUGUGCUCUAGGCAACCCCACAACAAAAUCCAUCGUGAUCUGCUCCCAUUUCCACUCGGGCACUAACAGACUCUGAAGCUUGCCAGCAGGUACCUGAUGCUCGGUCUUUACCUGUUGACAAGUGAGACACUGAGCCACAAAUCUGCCAAUAUCCCUCUUCAUCCCGUUCUACCAGAACUGUGCCUUUAAGUCCUUAUACAUCUUGGUUCCACCAGGGUAAACCGUAUAAGGAGAACAAUAAGCCUCUCUCAAAAUAUCUGCUCGGAUCUCUGAAUCCAUAGGCAUACACAGUCGGUCCCUGUACCGUAGUACUCCCGAACUGUCCACCGCAAAACCCUCAGCCUGUCCCCGAUCUAGCUGCUCUCGAAUCCUCGACAAGUACGGAUCUCCACUCUGUUUCUCUCGGAUCCUAUCCAACAGAGUGGGCUGCAAGACCAGAGACAUCAGUCUUGCAGUAGACCCAGGGUACACCAUCUCAAGCCUCAGCCGCUGCAGUUCCUCAAGUAGCGGUCUCUGCCGAGUGAUCAACAAACUCAAGCUCUGCGCUGCCCUCCUGCUCAAUGCGUCUACCACUACAUUUGCCCUGUCGGGAUGAUACUGAAUACUAAUAUCAUAGUCUUUCAGUAACUCCAACCACCGGCGCUGCCUCAGAUUCAAUUCCUUUUGAGUGAACAGAUACUUGAGACUUUUAUGAUCGGUGAAAACCUCGCAGUGCUCGCCGUACAAGUAAUGUCGCCACAACUUCAGAGCAAAGACUACCGCAGCAAGCUCCAAGUCAUGCGUAGGGUAAUUGUUCUCAUAAUCCUUUAACUGCUGUGAAGUAUAAGCAAUUACCCUACCAUGCUGCAUCAGCACACAACCCAGUCCACUGUGCGAUACAUCACUGUAGAUCACGAAUCCUUCCCCCAUCACAGGGAGAGCAAAGAUAGGAGCUGACAUCAAUCUCUGUCUCAGCUCGUCGAAGCUCCUCUGGCAGUCCUCACACCAAACAAACCGAAUCCCCUUCCGUGUCAACCUGGUAAGGGGUGUGGAAAGCUUCGCAAAGCCCUCCACAAACCGAUGGUAAUAUUCUGUUAGUACAAGAAAACUCCUCACCUCUGUCACCGUCGUCGGUCUGGUCCAAUCCCGAAUAGCAUCAAUCUUCUUCGGGUCCACUACUACUCCCUCUGCAGAAAUCACGUGGCCCAAGAAAGCGACCUCCCGCAACCAAAACUUGCACUUCUUUAACUUGGCAUACAGCUUCUUCUCUCGCAGAAGCUGUAGCACAAUCCUCAAGUGCUCCUCAUGCUCAGCAUCAUUACGGGAGUAGAUCAGAAUGUCAUCGAUGAAGACUACCACAAAUCUAUUCAAGAACGGCUUGAACACUCUGUUCAUCAAAUCCAUGAAUGCGGCAAGGGCAUCGUCAAUCCAAAAGGCAUCACGGUAAACUCAUAAUGCCCGUACCGAGUCCGAAAAGCCGUUUUGGGAACAUCGUUGGCCCUCACCGUCAGCUGGUGGUAACUUGACUGGAGAUCAAUCUUCGAGAAGACGGAGGAUCCCUGCAGCUGAUCAAACAAAUCAUUAAUGCGCGGCAGAGGAUACUUGUUCUUGAUGGUCACUUUAUUCAGCCCCCGGUAGUCCACACAUAACCUGAGCAAACCAUCCUUCUUCUUUACAAAUAACACCGGCGCUCCUCAAGGUGAUACACUGGGUCUCACAUAUCCCUUGUCCAUCAAAUCCUGAAGCUGCGCCUUUAACUCUCUCAGCUCCGCCGGUGCCAUCCGGUAAGGUACCUUCGAGAUUGGUGUAGUUCCGGGAACCACAUCAAUCACGAACUCAAUCUCCCUCUUCGGCGGCAUCAUCGUCAACUCAGGGGGAAACAUAUCCGGAAACUCAUGAACUACAGGAAUAUCCUCGAGUCCCGGUGUCGCCGUAGGUACCUCUACUACCGUCGCCAGAAACGCGACGCAUCCUCUGCUCAUCAACUGUCGAGCCCUCGCCGACGAAAUCCAAAUGGCGAACAACGUGCUACUGCAACCUCUAAAAGUGAAUUUCUCUUGGCCUGGCUCUCGGAACAUCACAGUUCUUGCUUCACAAUCGAUAGUAGCAUAGUACCGCACCAGCCAAUCCAUGCCAAGCACAAUGUCAAAGUCCUGCAGUUUUCCUAAGACCAACAGGUCUGUGGGCAAGAUCCAAGAAUCCAACUGCACCGGACACGACCAACAACACUCUACAACCUAUAACACAUAGUCGGGGAUCUGCACCUCUCGUGUCUGCAACAAUGACCCUAACUCUAGACCAUGCAACAAUGCAAAUGCUCGGCUAACAAAAGAAUGUGUUGCACCGGUAUCAAAUAAGGUACGUGCUCGAAUACCAGAAAUUAAAAUUAUACCUGCCACCACUCGAUUGACUGCUGAAGAGUCCUCCACCUGGGCUGCAUAUAUUCUGCGACUCAGAGCCUGCUGUCGCCGCUCACCUUGUCGCGGCGCAGAUGCCCUGUCCUCCUGGCGGUAACUCUGAGGUGCUCCAAAAAUCUGCUGAGAUCCAGAUACUGCUGAAGCGGUCGAUGGCGCUGGUGAUGCUGCUCGGGGACAAGCAGACCUCAUAUGCCCCGGCUGUCCACAUCCAAAACAUCGGCCCUCACGCUGCUCACACUGCCGAGCCCAGUGCGGUCCUCCACAAAUCACACAUGGUGGUAAUCCCUGUGACUGCCUCUGCUGCCGCGAUCCUCCAGAACGCUGACGCCCCGAGAACUCACGACCCUGAGAACGCGACCGUGGAGGUCUCGGCGGAUGCCGGCUACUCGACUGUCCACCCUCAUCUGGAGCUGAGCGCUUCCUGUCCUGACUCUGCCCUGCAGCCUGAGUCCUCUCCCGAAUAGAUAUAUCACCUCUCUCAACCCAAAGUGCCUGCUCCAUCGAUGCGUCCAAGGUCAUCAAUCUCUGCGCCUGAACAAAUCAAAAAAUCUCGGGCCUCAAACCCUGCUCGAAAAGGUAUACCCUGUGUGCCUCGUCUCUAGCCACAAACGGCACACAGUUCAGGAGUCGCGUGAACUCUCGAAUAUACUACUGUACUGUCUGGUCCCCCUGCUGGAUCUUCUUUAAAUCCUCCUCGAGUUUCUGUUUCAUACUGUUGGAAAAAUACAUCCCAUACAGCAUUCCACAGAACUCGUCCCAUGUCAUCUGCAAAGUCACCAACUGGUAAUCUCUCCUCACUCUCUGCCACCAAGCAAGGGCAUCCCCUGUCAAGCAAUGCACUCCCAGAUGUACCUGCUCCCGCUCAGGAAUGAAAUGAUUCUCAAAUAACUUCUCCAUCGAGCUGACCCAGUCCUCAACAACCCAAGCCUCUGUGCAUUGGCCCUCCAAAGUCGGUGGAUCGAAACGAUGAAAGCGAGCGAGUCUCUCAGCCAUCUGCUCCUGCUCAGCAUCGAUCAUUUGUAAUGCCUCACCAACCGGCGCAACUGGAACUGAAGGAACGGUCACUGGUGGUGGUACUACUGUAGCUGGUGCUGCCGCUGGAGCAGUCGGAGGUGGAACUAUCUGCUCUGGUACGGUACUCUGUGGCGGGGUGACCCUCUCACACAACCUCUCCAAUAACUCCCCUUGCCGCCUCGUCACUUCUGUCAGAGCGGCCAACUGAGCACUCAAGUCGGGGGAUGCGCUCGCCUCUGGUCGUGUACUCUGCUCCUGCCGGGCACUCGGCUCUGCCUGCUCAGGCAUCUCGGAGGGUCCCACACGAUCCUGCGUCAACUGUGCCCGGUCCCGUGUCGACGGUCGGCCUCGACGACGAUACAUAGCUGCAAAAAUAAAACAGGGUUAGAUAACACAAAUACUCUCGACCCAAUCAACGAAAGUCCGGAAGGCAGCCCCUGUUUCUCCUCAAAAUUAUGUUGUCUGCAGCCAACAUAAUUUUGCAGGCUAGAACAGGCACUCCUCCAAUCACUCACUCCCCUCAGGGUGACUUACAACAACUAAUCAUUGACUUUCGUAAUAAAUCACGCCUCUCCCGUCUUGCUUUCCUAAGGUUUGCCAAACUUAGGUUUCCUAGGUCCCAAUGACCUAAUGCUAAUCUCUGAUACCAACUUAAUCUGUCACGCCCCGGAUUACACGUUCCCCGGGCACGCCGACAAAUCCGCCGUAUACAAAAUUUUUUUUUCUGUAUACGAAGCGAUAGCUGUCUCUGUAAAAUAUACAAUACUACAAACAGUAGUGUAGAGCUGCUACCUGCAGCUGGUGAUCCUCUAGCACAGCGUUUCGUCGGGUAGGGCUCUAGCUCGCGACGGCCUUGCCUCGAUCCGCCUCUGAAGACGCAGCAGCCGGAACAGUAGGCUCUGCAAAACACAGGAUAACAACUGGGCGUGAGAACUACUGUAAAAAUAAGUAGUCCUCAGUGGGUACCGCCCUCAACAUCAUCGGCUCACCCACUAGUAAAAAUAAGUAGUCCUCAGUGGGUAUCGCCCUCAACAUCAUCGGCUCAACAUUAGUGGGUACUGCCCUCAACAUCAUCGGCUCACCCACUAAGACUACAGUAGGAAACAAGGCUAAAAGGUAAACCCGGAAAGAAAUCCACAACUACAUGCCACUACACUAUCCCACUGUGUUUACUAUCAAUUCUGACCCAAUCUCAUUAGGGAUUGUGUACGCACCCGUCCCGCCUGUCUAAGCCGCGCUACCUCCACGCCAAACAGUCCGUGGAUAGCAACUAAUCAGCGACAUCAACGCGAAAGCACAAAGCCAGACUCCAGAGCGGCACUCGUGGGCUCGACCCAACCGAGUAUGCAAGCGUAUCUCUGUCGAGCUCAAUCAGGCUCUCACAGGCUAAAGUCAAGAAAACAGGUCUAACAGUACUACCAACCCCUAGUCACGUGCCCUCGGCACAAUCUGAUAUCGGAACGAUCAAAUCCUGGUCCGCCGUCAACCACUACGGCACCCACUAAUCCGAAACACUGUAAACACUACUGUAAAAAUUGGCUCAGCAUCCCAGCACGAGCGUAACUGAAAUCUGAACUAUCUGGGAUACUCAUUAUGAGGAUACUGCAACAGUAUAAAAAUACAACGGCCCCCAGGGCUAAAUCAGGUAGUUUAACAUAUGCCAGGUCCCGAACGCUGGUUUUCUCCUAUGUUUUAUUCAAGUCCCACAUGUAUGAUUAAUAACAGCUUAUAACAUGCUCCCAAUUCCGUUAAUAUGUCUAAAAUAUAGCUACUCAUGAAUUUGAGCUAAACAAUAACAAUGUGCAAUAUUACGAUACAUGUCGGCGCAUAUGGCUAUAGGAGUAGGAACCCGAUGAUAAACCCACCUCAAACGCUAAAUCCAACCCGGCGUAAUGUCGAGAACGGCAAAAACGCACCCUCGCCCGGCCUCCUCGUGAUGCUACGAUGACGAAGACACGCUCAAACGGCUUCGUGGCGCGACGUCGAGGAUGAUCCACACCACCCGAAGCUUUCUCCACGUACGGCUCAAGAACUAUAUAGAAAAGAAAAUUAAAGCAAUGCACAGAUAUUUAAGUUGAUAAGCAUGCAUGGGGGUAAGGUGCACGUGGCAUCCUUAUCCCCAGCUAGCUUACUGACUCAAAAGAAAUAAUAAAAAAAAUCCAGGAUACUACAGUCCCUAGCGCAAGUGGCAAAAGGGUUUGGUGGUUGGUACCUGAGACCCAAGUUCGAAUCCUAGUUGAUUCACAUUUCUAGCUAAGUUUAUUUCUAAAUGAAAUAAACGAAGCGGGUAGCGUGUUACCUAUCUCUCUCAAAAAAAAAAAAACUUUUAAAUUUCUCUAGUUUAGACAUUAAUUUUGUAUCACUUAUUUAAAAAAAUUUGAAUGUAGAUAAAAAAUAUAAAUUCAAUGUAUUUAAUAUGUUAAAAAAAAUAUAAAAUUGUUCUAUUUUUUAGACAUUAAUUUUGUGUCAGUAUUUAAAAAUUUUGUAAUGUUGGUAAAUAUUUGAAUUCAAAAUAUUUAAUAUGUUUAACAAAAUUUUGAAUUCCUCUUGUUUAGACUUUAAUUUUGUAUUACUAAUUUAAAAGAUUUGAAUGUUGUUAAAUAAUUUGAAACUUUCUUAUAUAAAAUAACGAAAUAUUUGCUGAUGGAGAGGAAAGAUGGAGAGAGAAAAUGGAAACAAAAAGAGAAAAUUUUUUUUGAUAAUAUAGUAAAGAUAAAAUUAUGUAAUUAUCCACGUAUUAAAAGACAAAAAUAUUCCUCAUUGGGGUACCUGAUAAUCGGUACAUCUCUAAAAGUGACCUGCUAUUACAUGUCAUAAUUUUUUAAAAAGUAAAUUUGAGUUGUCGAAUAGGAGUGAAUGAACGGUAUUGAAAAAUAACAACUAUAGAAGCACUUGUACUCCUAUUUUUUAUGGAUCAGAUGAUAUUCUUUCUAAAUUAAUGUGCGAAUUUUGGGACUAUUUUCAUACCAAGAUAUUAGGUUUCUAAAACUAGAUGUCAUAAAAUUGGUAUCACAUUUGUUGGAUUCUCAAUUUGAAAACACCUAUAAAUGACUGAUUAUAAUUAGUGGUGUACGAACAAUCUGGUGCACCGGGUGCAUGCGUAGAGGCAAGUUUCUUCACCAAGGAGAGUUGCAAAAUCAAGAUGUACCUGAUUGGUUUUUCGUAAAACAAUGGAAAACAAAGUUUUUCAAAAAAAAAUUCAUAAAAUUUUACUUUUCAGUUUUUUGUCUGUUUGAUUUUUUUUAAAAAAAUUUCCCUAGAUUUUAUGAUAAAUUAGGAUAAAUUUUAUGAUAAAAUUCAUAAAAUUUUAUGGAAAACAAAGGUUUUAAAAAAAAAACUUUCCCGAGAUUUUAUGAUAAAUUAGGAUUUGUUUAGUUUAUCUAUUUUAGACUGCGGAAUUGGAACACAUAUCACUGAUUCUGAUAAUUAUUGUUUAUUUUAUAGCAAUCUAUCUAUUUACUAUAUACUAAAGUAGAACCCUUUGUGUCAAACUGUCACGUGUCUUUCUGUAUGCUUGCCACGUGUCAAACUCAAAUAUAGAAUAGUAAUUUUAUUAGAAAAUACUAUUAAAUCAAAUCAAAUCAAAUUAUAUCAAUUAACAAAUUAUACCAAUUAAAUAUAAUUAUAUAUACAAAUAGGAAACACUAUUAAAUCAAAUUAAAUAUAAUUAUAUAUACGAUUAAAAAGAAUUUUAUUAGGAAACACUAUUAAAUCAAAUUAAAUUAAAUUAAAUCAAAUUAUACCAAUUAAAUAUAAUUAUAUAUAUACAAUUAAUUAGAAUUUUAUUACGAAACACUAUUAAACACUAUUAUUAUAAUUAUACUCAAAUAUAGAAUAGCAAUUUUAUUAGGAAACACUAUUAAAUCAAAUUAAAUCAAAUUAUACCAAUUAAAUAUAAUUAUAUAUACAAUUAUCUAAAAUUUUAUUAUGAAACACUAUUAAACACUAUUAUUAUAAUUAUAGUCAUUAAAUCAAAUUAAAUCAAAUUAAAUAAAAUUAAAUCAAAUUAUACCAAUUAAAUAUAAUUAUAUAUACAAUUAUCUAAAAUUUUAUUAUGAAACACUAUUAAACACUAUUAUUAUAAUUAUAGUCAUUAAAUCAAAUUAAAUCAAAUUAAAUAAAAUUAAAUCAAAUUAAAUCAAAUUAUACCAAUUAAAUAUAAUUAUAUAUAUACAAUUAACUAGAAUUUUAUUAUGAAACACUAUUAAACACUAUUAUUAUAAUUAUCCUCAAAUAUAGAAUAGCAAUUUUAUUAGGAAACACUAUUAAAUCAAAUUAAAUCAAAUUAUACCAAUUAAAUAUAUUAUAUAUACAAUUAUCUAGAAUUUUAUUAUGAAACACUAUUAAACACUAUUAUUAUAAUUAUAGUCAAAUAUAGAAUAGCAACUUUAUUAGGAAACACUAUUAAAUCAAAUUAAAUCUAUCUAUUUACUAUAUACUAAAGUAAAACCCUUUGUGUGAAACUGCCACGUGUCUUUCUAUAUGCUUGUCACGUGUUAAACUCAAGUAUAGAAUAGCAAUUUUAUUAGGAAACACUAUUAAAUCAAAUUAAAUCUAUCUAUUUACUAUAUACUAAAGUAAAACCCUUUGUGUGAAACUGCCACGUGUCUUUCUAUAUGCUUGUCACGUGUUAAACUCAAGUAUAGAAUAGCAAUUUUAUUAGGAAACACUAUUAAAUCAAAUCAAAUCAAAUUUUACUAAUUAACAAAUUAUACCAAUUAAAUAUAAUUAUAUAUACAAAUAGGAAACACUAUUAAAUCAAAUUAAAUCAAAUUAAAUCAAAUUAUACCAAUUAAAUAUAACUAGUUACGGGACCCGCGCGUUGCAGCGAAAAGUUAACACAACAGUAAUUUAUCAGUUUUUAAUAUUAAUUUUUUUCAACUAUGCAUUAAUUGAAAAUGUAUUAAUUUUGUGAAUUUGAAAUUUUGUAAAGUAACAUGGUGCAAUAGUUAUAAGGAUGAGCUCAAAUAGUAAUAUAUUUCUCACCAUUCACCCUCAAAGUAAAAGAAUAUUUUUUUAUCCACUUACUGAUAGGCAAUUUUGCAAAUACAAAAGAUAGACCUGAGACGAUAUAGAUAGAAGUCAGAUUUGUUGUUGUGCCAUCAAACUUGCUUUAUAUAUUUCGAUCUCAUCAUAGCUCAUUCAUUACCCAUAUAAUUAGAUAGUGCUAUCAAUUCAUAAAUUCAUGAUCCAUAAAAUACAUGAAUUUCAAUGCUCUAACGAAUUCAAAACUCCAGCCGCAAAUUGCAAAUGUUACCAGAGCAAGCACAACAAAGGUAUUUCGAGAACCCUUAAGCAGCGUAAAUAAAUAAACCUUAGUAACUGUAGAACGCAGCGGAAGUUUUCGUUCGUACCUUUUUGCGGAAGCGAUUCGAGCCGGAUCGGAUUGAUUGAUUUACGUGUCCUUGAAUCUUCCUUGAAAAUCUUCUAACUCUCCGAACUCGCGGUGGAUCGAACUACAAACGAGCACGAUCGCAAAUCCACCGUUCAAGUCCCUCUAGAAUAAUAGGUUAAUGGAGGAUGUGGUUUCUCGCUAUUAUUUUCUUAUUCUCUCUCUUUUUCCGUUCGUUUUGUAUAUCGUUUCAUGUGGGAUCGCCCGUCUAUUUAUAAGGAAUUCCAAAAUCCUAAUAGCGUUAGAGAUAAGGCCAAAUCGAUUAUUAUUUGUUAUCCUAAUAUGAUUAGAUUUAUCUCUAAUUAACUUUCCAAUUUGAAAGCGAGAUUAAUCCUAAUCCAAUUAGAUAACAUAACAUCCGUCGGAUCGAACCCGCUUAUGGGCGUACCCGAUUCNGAGUCUACAAUCCACACAGGGAGAGAUUCAGCAACAAACGUGUUAAAAGAGCGAGAAUUGGGAUAGUGUUGUACCUUCUUCGGCUCAGUGCAAUCACGAGCGAAGUGUCCCAGCUGAUUACAGUUGAAACAAGUCAUCUUUGACUUGUCUUUCUUGCCACCUCGUUUGCUUCUUUUUCUUUUAGUGUUCUUCGCAUUCUUAGGCGCGGAUCCGUUACGAUUUUGAGCCCCAGUAGUCCUCUUUCGCUUGAACCGAGAUGUCCUGCGAAAGUUUGACUCAGCAGCAUUGGCAGUUGGAGUUUUAACAGCCUCAAGGCGCUCCUCCUCCAACUCCAAAUGCCGCGCAACAUCCUCAAAAGUUUUGAUAUUAUCGUUAUGGGUCAAAUUUACUCGCAUAUGUUCCCACGAAUUGGGAAGAGAGCGAAUCGUAGCUUGGAUCUGGUGCUCAUCAGUCAAGGUGCCGCCAGCCGACUUUAACUCGCGAAUCAUGUUUGACAUGGUUCUAACGUGCUGUUUCAUAGUCUGAUCGGCACGCUUCUUAUAACUGUCAAACCUCAUAGUCAGACUGCGCAACCUUGUAGCCGAAGUUGCACCAAACUUUGCUUUGAGAGCCUCCCACAUGUCAUACGCAGUCGGAUACUGCUCACACUCGCACAAGAGAUCAUUCUGCAUACUGCUCAGCAACGUGAUGCGAGCAAUGCGAUCCUUCUUAAGCCAAUUAUUAUAGGCUUCCAUAUCUCGGCGAGACUGGGCACUAGUGGCCUCCGUGGGUUGGUCCAUUUUAUUACUCAAGUUUUCCAGAACCUCUUGCUCAGCGAGAACAUAUUGAAUUUUACGGUGCCAAAUAUCAUAAUUGUCACCAUCCAAUUUCUCGCCCUUGUUUAAAUCAGCAACUAUUUGUUUGGAAGCCAUUAAAUCUCACUUUGUUCAUACAAUGCGCAGAGAAUGAUAUUUUAAUAUCAGUACACGAUACAUAUAUUUAAUUUUGCCGCAUCUCUAAUUAAAUAAAUUAAAAAUUAGAUCAUACAUGCAUAAAGGAAAAUUUCGCUAUGCUCAUAAUCACAUCACACACCAUAUGUCAAAAUUUUUAAUUAUUUAAUUAAGAUGCACAAAAUAUUAGGGAGUAAAGACGUAUAAUUUACUCUACCAUAAAUUAAAAGACUCCUACUAGAUAAGGCAUGCAUUUAAAAAUAUAUAUGCCUAAAGUUACAUCUUCACAUCAUAACAGGCAUUAUAAUAAAAAAAAUGCAUGCAUUAUAAAAGUCAAUAUAAAAUUUUAAUAUGCAUUAAACAUAAUAAAAGCAUAUCUAGCCAUCAAAGAAUGCAACAUAUAUCUAAGAUGCAUAUUAAACUUCGAAUUCGCUUAAACAAUUUUAUUAAAAAAAAUGUGCAGAAAAAACGAACAAAAAAAAAAACUGCAGGCCCGCGGGCCCGCUCGCAGCCCGGCUCGAGCAAGGCCUGCGUGCAGCCCGCGAGCGCGGCCAACGCUUGGCCCGCGCUGGGCCCGUAGCGGCCCGCGGACUCGCGAGGCCAGCGGCAGCCCGACGCGGCCCCCGCUGCCCGCGCGGUCGCGAGGUCAGCGGUAGCCCGCCACGGCCCGCACGCUGGCGAGGCCCGCGACGGCCAGCGCGGCCCGCGCGCUUACGAGGCCAGCGCGGCCCGCAUGGCCUGCGCAGCCUGCCGACUACGCACGGCCCGUGCGGCCUGCGUGGCCCGCCGCGUGCGCGCGGCCCGCCGCGUGCGCGCGGCCCGCGCGGUCGCGAGGCCAGGGGUAGCUCGCCGCGGCCCGUGCGGCCUGCGCGCCGGCGAGGCCCGCGACGGCCCGCGCGGCCUGCGCGCUGGCGAGGCCCGCGCGGCCCGCACAGCCUGCGCAGCCCGUCGACUACGCGCGGCCCGUGCGACCUGUGGGGCUCGCCGCCUGCGUGCGGCCCGUGCGGCCUGCGUGGCCCUCGCUGCCGGCGGCCUGCGCCCGUGCGGCGCCGGAACAGUUUUUUUUUUUUUUUUUUUUUUUUUUUUUUUUUUUAUGAUAGGAUAAUUCAAAUAAUCAUCUCUAUAGAUUCAGAAGUCCAAUCUUUGCCCCCCAAAAGGAAAAUAUAUCAAAGGAAACCUUGUGACGAGCUCUUCAAAUCUGCAAGUUUCACAUGAAGAUAUUGAUUUGAAAAAAAAAUCGCCAUGAACGAUCACAUACAUGCAAGAAAAAAAUCUAAAACAUGAUAGAUUUAAGUCUAACGGCAUGUAAUCCUCGUUAAAGGAUGGUUAUCAAGACCACAGAAAUCAACAAAAAAGGCUCUGAUACUAAUACUAGACGCAGCGGAAGUUUCUCGUUCGUCUUUUUGAGGAAGUCGAUUCGAGCGGUCGGAUUGAUUUGAUUUACGUGGUUCCUUGAAUCUCUCCGUUGAAAAUCUUCGUAAUCUCUCCGAACUCGGUGGAUCGAACUACAAACCGAGCAGAUCGCAAAUCCACCGUUCAAGUCCCUCUGAAAUCAAUAGUAUAAUCGGGGAUGUGGUUUCCCUCGAUUAUUUUCUUUAUUCUCUCUCUUUUCCGUUCGUUUUAUAUCGUUUCAUGGUUGGGGAUCGCCCAGUCUAUUUAUAUAGAAUUCAAACUGAAUAGCGUUUAGAGAUAUAGGCCAAAUCCGUAUUAUUUGUUUCCUAAUAUGAUUAGAUUUAUCUUAAAUAACUUUCCAAUUUGAAACGAGCAAUUAAAUCCUAAUCCCAAUUAGAUAACAUAACAUUCCGUCGGAUAGAACCGCUUAUGAGCGCGUACCGGAUUCAGAUUUAACCGGGAAUGCAACGAUAGCAAAUAUUUUCAAUGUUCUAUGAUUCAAAACUUCGCCGCGAAUUACAAAUAGUUACAGAGCAUAAACAUAAGUAUUUCUGUGACCGUUAACAGUGUAAACAAUAAAAGCCAGGAUGUAGAAUACCUGGAAACGAAUUACUGAAAGACAAAGAGACUAAUCUUGUUUAAAUCAACAUGAACAUGUCUAAAACACGAUGAAAGUUAUUAGACAUUUUAAAUUUUCCACAUUAGCAAUGAACGCAAGGAAUUACUGCUGAUAAGGUAAAACAAUAAUUCGAUUCAUUGCAGAGUUGUUUAUUAAGCCUGCGAGACAACUUAGCGCGAUGAAAUGUAACAUUAACAAGUGAAAGCCUCCAUUAUGCGAAAGAUCUGGAAGGACAAUAAUAUUACACCAAAUAUAAAAGAAAAGUAUAAAUACAAUUGAGAAAAAAGUUGUUUAAAAAAACCGAUGAGAAAUUGUCACGUGAAAAAAAAAAAGGCAAAGUUUUGAGAUUAUUCGAGAAACUAAAUAAGAGAGCUAAAAACUGCACAAUAUAUAAACAAAAGCUACAAAAUAGUAUUUAUUUAUUUAACAAAUUGAUGAGUAAUUUAUAACAUAAAAUACACUAUACAGAAGCCAAAGCUUGGUAUCACCGAACAGCUGCCAUAAGAGGGAGGAAAAAGUAGGAAGAUAAUAGAAUUAAGAGCACAAAAACAAAGCUUGAGCUAACAAGUAAUACAAAAACAUAUGUGAGAAAUUUAAACGUAAUAGCACAGAAUAAUAGAGCAUCUAACAAAUAAUAAAUAACAAAAAUCCAUCACGGAAUGAAUCGACAGUAAACACAAAUAUUUUCGAAUUUUAUACGAAAAUAAAAAUAAUUUGUGUUGAAGUACUACCAUCGUAUAAAUCUCAACAUCUAUUGCAAAACUUGUAUAUUGUUUAUAAUUGCAAAUCCUAAAAUUUUGAUAUUGUUUAUAAUGCCAAAACGGUGUCACGGCCCCGCGACGAUCCAAUUUGGGACCCGACACAUCAAAUUAACGGGCCGAACGACAGAGCUUUGCCCCUAUGCCCCAAGGCCUCAUCACAUGUACAGAAUUCAACAAGAAUUGCACUAGCGAAAACAUACACAAACGGCUUACACGGAGGUAAGAAAUUAGCCAUUAUGAAAGAAAGGAACUAAACAUUCCUGUUACUAUGAUUUCAUUUUGAUCAUAUAACAUUGAUUCUAUCUUUUAUUUUCGAAUUCCAUUACAUACAUUUCUCAUUUCUUUCUUACAUCAAUAUCUAUCCUCAAAAUAAGCUUCACACAUUUUUCCUUACAUCACUACCAUCAUGUAACAAAGAUGAUCAUAGGGUACUUUACUACAAAUUGAAAACCCAACUUUGUGCCCCUGGUCAGGGUGCCGAUACCUUUAACCUCGCGCCUCGCCCGCUCGCAUCAGGUCCUGGCGCUGUGGAAAUAGUGGGGUGAGAACACAACAAAAUUCCAAUGGGUUCGGCUCAACAUCACCGACUUUCCCCUUAGGACUAACUCAGGCAUAAUAGAAAGAAUAAGCUGCAUAUAGUAACCAAUCUAUACAUGAUGCUAAUAUGCCUGAACAAUAAAGCAAGGAGUAUACUCAACAUUAAAUAAAUGCAGAUUAUGCAAGUUCUUUGUUCUCUGCUCUUUACUCUUUGUUCUUUGUUCUCUGCACUUUGUUCUUUACUCUUUGUUCUUUAAUCUCAAGGCUAACCCGGGGCUUCGCCACAUUAACUUGCUUCACAUUAAGUCCAUCAUCGCAGGAACUCACCCGCUAGGACCGUCCUUCGGGUUUACUCCAACCCGUGAUGCAUAACUCCGGAGCGCAUCGCCCGAGGGGGAGCGACCGCCCUCGAGCACGGAACUCAUAGCAAGUAUGAUCAUAUCCUUAACUCAAAGGAUUUAUAGUUCAAUCUUGACUUUACACUAGCUCUAGUGUUCUUUCAUCACUUUAUGUUGCUAACUCUAGCAAUCAUUGUUCUUUACUUUUCUUUUACUUUUGCCAUCUUUAACAUUCUUGUUCUUUACAUUUCCUGUUCUUUACAUUUCUUGUUCUUAUUGCCCCACUUUACUUUAACUUUAUACAUAUUGUCAUUUUUGUCAUUCUUUACAUCACUUUGGUUCUUUACCUCACACUAUCUCUAGUGUCAUUUCACUUUAACUUUAUCAAAUGCCACUCGAUCUAUGUCAUUGUGUCACUCUGUUCUUUUGCUCACUUUGGGUGCUCACUUUUCUCUCAUGCAUACACAUAGGGUUUUCGACAUCACAUAGUUCUCAUUCAUCAUAUUAUGCAAGUUGUACUCACAAUCAUGCAACAUCAUAUUUUCAUCAUUACUUUACCCUAAAAUGCAUGCAACAAUAUAUAUACACAUGUUCAAUGAAUGACACAUUAGGCAUAGAGAGAAGUUCAAUGAGUUUGAGAAGUACCACCCACCUCGUAGGUCUAUUUAGGUGCUCCGACGAUUUUCUUGAGAUUUAUAGGCUCCUCGUUCUUCACCUGCGGCAAAACGAAGCCAACUUAGGCUAUUUUGCCCAUAUCUUUCUAUAGACUUUUCGUAACGUUAAUUCGAACGCACCAACGCGUCGAAAAUACCCCCAAUUAGGUUUCUAGAGGGUCAAUUGAACUUAGAAAGCCCCAUGAGCAAAAGCCCCAAUUUGGUGCCCUAGCUUUAAUACAUAUACAAAACCUAGGGUUUGAUCUCAUUGGGAAGCAAAAGUAGCUUCAAUAUACUCUAAAAAGUCCAUUAAAACCAUCUUUAGACAAAUCAAAACCCUACUUAGGGUUUCACCAUUAGAGGUGGGUUGAAGCUCACCUUGAGCUCAACCAUGGUUUUGAUCUCUAAAGAAGCAAAAAGAAAGCUUCAAACUACUAGAUAUUCCAUUAGAAACCAUUUCUAGGUUUAUUCAAACCCAUUUCUAGGGUUUUACUAUAUUAGGGUUCAAAGCUUACCUUGUAAGCUUCCUUUUCUUGGACUAGAGAAGAAGGAGAUGAAGCCUCUUUGCUCCAAAAGCUUCUUCUUCACCUUCUUUGUCUUCUUUUCCUUUCUUUUCCUUUGCCUUCUUCUUCUCCUUCUUUGUCUUCUAGAGAGAGAAAGAGAGGAGAGAGUGUGAGAGGGUGAGAAUGAGAGAAAUGUCUCAUUUACCCCAAUACUAUACUCAAUGGGUUGCCAAAAUGCAGCUAAACCCCUCAACUUUUACUCUUUCACACAGCCUAGACUGGGCUGUUCGCGCAGGAGAGGACCGGUCUCUCCUUCAGGGACCAGUUCCCGAAGGCUCUCCCCGCGCAGCCAGAGCUGCUGCGCGCAGGGCAACCGGUCUCUCCUUCAGGGACCCGUCUCUCGGGGACCGGUCUCUCAGGCAGGGACCGGUUCCCGAGAGCUACUUUCUCAGGACUUAGCCGAUUUUUCGACUGUCUCAUUUCAUACGCGUUCGGGGACCGGUCUCUCCCACCAGGGACCGGUCCCCGAGAGCUGAAAAUCUGCAGUUUUGCAGAAUUUGAUUCUUUAGCUCUCGAAAACCUUCCACAACGCACUUUUAAUCAUUUUAACACCUUCGGACUUUCCGAAGUGUACCAUCCUCGCACUUUGGUCAAUUUGACUAAAGUUCGACAUCUAUUUUCCGAAUUUUCGGUAUAUUACAAAAGGAUUUUUCUUUUCUUAAAAAAGUACCACAAAACAGGAAAAAGUCCAAAAAAAUAGUGAGAAAAAUAGUGAGUACAAAAGGAAGAGUAAAAAUAAUGCGAUAAAUAGUUACGAAAUCUAUGUAGCAACCAUACCUAAAUUAAACGGGCAAGUUUCAUCACAUAAAAUAGGCAAAAAACAGAGAAGUCUAGAAAGAAACAAUACCGAAAUAAGCACAGCAUGUCAUAAAAAUCAGACAAAGAACCCCCCAAAAAAGUGCAAUACAUAAGCUCGGGAAUUGGAGUUUGAAGAACAUAAUCAAACUUUUUAAUACCUAAAAUAAUUUUUAGGUUACGAAGCCAGCCUAGGAAAUUAGGGCUGGUUAAUCGGUUAUAUUCCAUUAUGUGAGAAAGAGGGUUAGAGGCAUUCAUUUUGUCUGUAGAAAGUAGAGAUUUUAGUUAGAUGAGUAUUUUUCUUUUUAACCUAUUAAACUAGGGUCUUUUAGUUUAAAAGGUUCCUCCCACUAAUUUUAUCAAAUUUCUACACUCCCUAAGUAGAAAGACGGAAAUCCUCAUCCGUUAGUGUCACGCCCCGCAACCGCCAAUUUUGUCGGUUCGGGAACGUCGAUCAGACGCCGAACGGACAGAACCUCCUUUGUCCGCCCAAGGCUAACAACAACAAGAUCAUGUACUUAACAGUUGCCCAGGGAACAUGAACCACAUACAUGAUCUAGCAAGUAUUAAUACAAGUAAUGACAAGCAAUCAACAAAAGAGAGAAAGAACUAGCUAUUACAAUUUCAUUCAACAUAUACAUCGAGUUUACACUUUUCAUCUCCAAAAUGUAUAUCUAUUCAUCCACAACUCUCCAAAAUACAAAUACAUCAAGUCCUCUCAUCUAUACAAGGUGUACUAAUGCAUUAGGAAAGAUGUCUAGCUACUAAGGCGCUAUGCCCUUACCGCGGUCCUCGCCCGGUACGCUCGAACUCGGCCCUGCAACAAAGUGGGGUAAGAACUAUAUAAAUAUAGUUCCCA
This 34294-nucleotide long non-coding RNA is filed under the name Ananas comosus (pineapple). RNAcentral describes it as "long non-coding RNA (ACOM_LNC026122)". Lineage: Eukaryota; Viridiplantae; Streptophyta; Magnoliopsida; Poales; Bromeliaceae. The record is from RNAcentral.